GCUCGUCUAGCUCAAUUGGUAGAGUGCAAGGCUUAUAACCUUGAGGUUUUGGGUUCGAGCCCCACCGUGGGCA
RNAcentral lists this transfer RNA (73 nucleotides) under Zea mays. It matches the Rfam family "tRNA". From Rfam's summary of the family: Transfer RNA (tRNA) molecules are approximately 80 nucleotides in length. Their secondary structure includes four short double-helical elements and three loops (D, anti-codon, and T loops). The record is from Rfam by way of RNAcentral. Lineage: Eukaryota; Viridiplantae; Streptophyta; Magnoliopsida; Poales; Poaceae.